UUGUUGUUGUUAUUGAUGGUGAUGAUGAUGAUGAUGAUGAAGAAGAGGAGGAGGAGGGCUUGAUUGAUUGAGGUAGUGAUCAAUGGGGAAGGAGAAGAGAAAGAUAAAGAUAAAGAUAUAGAUAAACAUAGAGAAGAUAGACAGUGAGGCAAUUAAGUGACGUUUUCUAAGCGGCGGAGAGGUUUGUUCAAAAAGGAGCAGAAGCUGGCGAUGUUGGGUUAUGCUGAGGUUGGGUUCAUUGUCUUCUCCGCUUCUAUGUAGCUCUUUGACUACUCCAGCUCAAGCCCGUGUGAGGUCCUUCACAAGUAUAGUAUGCACUUCAAAAGUGCUUCCAAAGAAGAUCUACAAACUCUUGACAACUUUCUUAUCUUUACAAUCAAGCACGUUGAAUGAAAGCCUUCUACAUAAU
Long non-coding RNA from Dioscorea cayenensis subsp. rotundata (Guinea yam), 409 nucleotides. RefSeq lists it as uncharacterized. The transcript has 3 exons. The record is from RefSeq and is a predicted model, not a curated record. Lineage: Eukaryota; Viridiplantae; Streptophyta; Magnoliopsida; Dioscoreales; Dioscoreaceae.